UUCAACAACGGAUCUCUUGGUUCUGGCAUCGAUGAAGAACGCAGCGAAAUGCGAUAAGUAAUGUGAAUUGCAGAAUUCAGUGAAUCAUCGAAUCUUUGAACGCACAUUGCGCCCGCCAGUAUUCUGGCGGGCAUGCCUGUUCGAGCGUCAU
Molecule: ribosomal RNA, 151 nt
Filed under: uncultured Ascomycota
Lineage: Eukaryota; Fungi; Ascomycota
Description: 5.8S ribosomal RNA
Rfam family: 5.8S ribosomal RNA
About the family: 5.8S ribosomal RNA (5.8S rRNA) is a component of the large subunit of the eukaryotic ribosome.
Source: RNAcentral